RNAcentral lists this ribosomal RNA (401 nucleotides) under uncultured bacterium. RNAcentral's name for it is "bacterial SSU rRNA". It matches the Rfam family "Bacterial small subunit ribosomal RNA", at positions 355 to 773 of the family's 1533-position model. The record is from RNAcentral.
UGGGGAAUAUUGGACAAUGGGCGAAAGCCUGAUCCAGCAAUGCCGCGUGAGUGAUGAAGGCCUUAGGGUUGUAAAGCUCUUUUACCCGGGAUGAUAAUGACAGUACCGGGAGAAUAAGCCCCGGCUAACUCCGUGCCAGCAGCCGCGGUAAUACGGAGGGGGCUAGCGUUGUUCGGAAUUACUGGGCGUAAAGCGCACGUAGGCGGCGACUCAAGUCAGAGGUGAAAGCCCGGGGCUCAACCCCGGAACUGCCUUUGAAACUAGGUUGCUAGAAUCUUGGAGAGGUCAGUGGAAUUCCGAGUGUAGAGGUGAAAUUCGUAGAUAUUCGCAAGAACACCAGUGGCGAAGGCGGCUCACUGGCCCGGUACUGACGCUGAGGUGCGAAAGCGUGGGGAGCGAAC